GAUGAACGCUGGCGGCGUGCCUAAUACAUGCAAGUCGAGCGAACUGAUUAGAAGCUUGCUUCUAUGACGUUAGCGGCGGACGGGUGAGUAACACGUGGGCAACCUGCCUGUAAGACUGGGAUAACUUCGGGAAACCGAAGCUAAUACCGGAUAGGAUCUUCUCCUUCAUGGGAGAUGAUUGAAAGAUGGUUUCGGCUAUCACUUACAGAUGGGCCCGCGGUGCAUUCGCUAGUUGGUGAGGUAACGGCUCACAAAGGCAACGAUGCAUAGCCCGCCUGAGAGGGUGAUCGGCCAGACUGCGACUGAGACACGGCCCAGACUCCUACGGGAGGCAGCAGUAGGGAAUCUGCCGCAAUGGACGAAAGUCUGACGGAGCAACGCCGCGUGAGUGAUGAAGGCUUUCGGGUCGUAAAACUCUGUUGUUAGGGAAGAACAAGUACAAGAGUAACUGCUUGUACCUUGACGGUACCUAACCAGAAAGCCACGGCUAACUACGUGCCAGCCGCCGCCGUAA
This 514-nucleotide ribosomal RNA is filed under the name uncultured bacterium. Its description in RNAcentral is "partial 16S ribosomal RNA". It matches the Rfam family "Bacterial small subunit ribosomal RNA", at positions 28 to 523 of the family's 1533-position model. The record is from RNAcentral.